Molecule: ribosomal RNA, 112 nt
Filed under: human gut metagenome
Source: RNAcentral
CGGUGACGAUAGCAAGGAGGUCACACCUGUUCCCAUACCGAACACAGUAGUUAAGCUCCUUAGCGCUGAAGAUACUUGGCGGGUGACUGCCCGGGAAAUUAAGACGUUGCCG